RNAcentral lists this ribosomal RNA (466 nucleotides) under uncultured bacterium. RNAcentral describes it as "partial 16S ribosomal RNA". It matches the Rfam family "Bacterial small subunit ribosomal RNA", at positions 28 to 507 of the family's 1533-position model. The record is from RNAcentral.
GACGAACGCUGGCGGCGUGCUUAACACAUGCAAGUCGAACGGAAAGGCUCCAGCUUGCUGAGUACUCGAGUGGCGAACGGGUGAGUAACACGUGGGUAAUCUGCCCUGCACUCUGGGAUAAGCCUGGGAAACUGGGUCUAAUACUGGAUAUGACCUUUCUCCUUAUGGGGUUUGGUGGAAAGUUUUUCGGUGUAGGAUGAGCCCGCGGCCUAUCAGCUUGUUGGUGGGGUGAUGGCCUACCAAGGCGACGACGGGUAGCCGGCCUGAGAGGGUGAUCGGCCACAUUGGGACUGAGAUACGGCCCAGACUCCUACGGGAGGCAGCAGUGGGGAAUAUUGCACAAUGGGCGGAAGCCUGAUGCAGCGACGCCGCGUGAGGGAUGACGGCCUUCGGGUUGUAAACCUCUUUCAGCAGGGACGAAGCGUAAGUGACGGUACCUGCAGAAGAAGCACCGGCUAACUAUGUG